This 107-nucleotide small nuclear RNA is filed under the name Dasypus novemcinctus (nine-banded armadillo). Lineage: Eukaryota; Metazoa; Chordata; Mammalia; Cingulata; Dasypodidae. The record is from RNAcentral.
GUGCUCACUUCCGCAGCGCGUAUACUAAAAAUCGGAAUGAUACAGAGAAGAUUAGCAUGGCCCCACACAAGGAUGACAUAUAAAUUAGUGAAGCAUUCCAUUUAUAA